RNAcentral lists this long non-coding RNA (351 nucleotides) under Felis catus (domestic cat). RNAcentral's name for it is "lncRNA (ENSFCAG00000047374.1)". The record is from RNAcentral. Lineage: Eukaryota; Metazoa; Chordata; Mammalia; Carnivora; Felidae.
UGAGCAGGUGACAGUUCGCUAAUGGCAACUUUCCUGAGAAGAAGGCAACAGCGGUAAACUUCCAGAGCAACGUCCACAUUGUGAGGACACGUGGAUUCUGCCCGAGGUCACAAAAAGUGCACGUGGACCCUCAGCCCAGAUGGCUAGGUAGAAGGCCCAUUGAGAAGCUGGAAGUUCUCAAUCUGUUGAAAUCCAUGGAGAUUUUCCUUCUUGUGAGUCUUCCACUCACUGUACUGCGUAGACGAGAGUCUUUACAGCAGGUCUGCGGUUUAAAAUCCUGUAGUUCAGCAAGGUAAGCACAUGCUGUUGAUUGACAGCUCAUCUUCCCCUUAAAAGGGGCCAUGGUGGGGA